AGGAACUCAGGUGAGAGGUGGAGAGACAGGACUCAGGUGAGAGGUGGAGAGACAGGAACUCAGGUGAGAAAAGGAGAGACAGGAACUCAGGUGAGAGGUGGAGAGACAGGAACUCAGGUGAGAUGUGGAGAGACAGGAACUCAGGUGAGAGGUGGAGAGACAGAACUCAGUGAGAGAUGGAAACAGACAGGAACUCAGGUGAGAAAAGGAGAGACAGGAACUCAGGUGAG
This 230-nucleotide long non-coding RNA is filed under the name Macaca mulatta (Rhesus monkey). RNAcentral's name for it is "lncRNA (ENSMMUG00000053990.1)". The record is from RNAcentral. Lineage: Eukaryota; Metazoa; Chordata; Mammalia; Primates; Cercopithecidae.